AGGUGGUCAGGUAGAGAAUACCAAGGCGCUUGAGAGAACUCGGGUGAAGGAACUAGGCAAAAUGGUGCCGUAACUUCGGGAGAAGGCACGCUGAUAUGUAGGUGAAGCGACUUGCUCGUGGAGCUGAAAUCAGUCGAAGAUACCAGCUGGCUGCAACUGUUUAUUAAAAACACAGCACUGUGCAAACACGAAAGUGGACGUAUACGGUGUGACGCCUGCCCGGUGCCGGAAGGUUAAUUGAUGGGGUCAGCGCAAGCGAAGCUCUUGAUCGAAGCCCCGGUAAACGGCGGCCGUAACUAUAACGGUCCUAAGGUAGCGAAAUUCCUUGUCGGGUAAGUUCCGACCUGCACGAAUGGCGUAAUGAUGGCCAGGCUGUCUCCACCCGAGACUCAGUGAAAUUGAACUCGCUGUGAAGAUGCAGUGUACCCGCGGCAAGACGGAAAGACCCCGUGAACCUUUACUAUAGCUUGACACUGAACAUUGAGCCUUGAUGUGUAGGAUAGGUGGGAGGCUUAGAAGUGUGGACGCCAGUCUGCAUGGAGCCGACCUUGAAAUACCACCCUUUAAUGUUUGAUGUUCUAACGUUGACCCGUAAUCCGGGUUGCGGACAGUGUCUGGUGGGUAGUUUGACUGGGGCGGUCUCCUCCUAAAGAGUAACGGAGGAGCACGAAGGUUGGCUAAUCCUGGUCGGACAUCAGGAGGUUAGUGCAAUGGCAUAAGCCAGCUUGACUGCGAGCGUGACGGCGCGAGCAGGUGCGAAAGCAGGUCAUAGUGAUCCGGUGGUUCUGAAUGGAAGGGCCAUCGCUCAACGGAUAAAAGGUACUCCGGGGAUAACAGGCUGAUACCGCCCAAGAGUUCAUAUCGACGGCGGUGUUUGGCACCUCGAUGUCGGCUCAUCACAUCCUGGGGCUGAAGUAGGUCCCAAGGGUAUGGCUGUUCGCCAUUUAAAGUGGUACGCGAGCUGGGUUUAGAACGUCGUGAGACAGUUCGGUCCCUAUCUGCCGUGGGCGCUGGAGAACUGAGGGGGGCUGCUCCUAGUACGAGAGGACCGGAGUGGACGCAUCACUGGUGUUCGGGUUGUCAUGCCAAUGGCACUGCCCGGUAGCUAAAUGCGGAAGAGAUAAGUGCUGAAAGCAUCUAAGCACGAAACUUGCC
Molecule: ribosomal RNA, 1155 nt
Filed under: Escherichia coli
Lineage: Bacteria; Pseudomonadati; Pseudomonadota; Gammaproteobacteria; Enterobacterales; Enterobacteriaceae
Description: partial 23S ribosomal RNA
Rfam family: Bacterial large subunit ribosomal RNA
Source: RNAcentral